RNAcentral lists this ribosomal RNA (271 nucleotides) under uncultured Eubacteriales bacterium. RNAcentral's name for it is "uncultured Clostridiales bacterium partial 16S ribosomal RNA". It matches the Rfam family "Bacterial small subunit ribosomal RNA", at positions 77 to 339 of the family's 1533-position model. Lineage: Bacteria; Bacillati; Bacillota; Clostridia; Eubacteriales. The record is from RNAcentral.
UUUUCGGACAGAAGAGUGGACAGUUUAGUGGCGAACGGGUGAGUAACGCGUGAGUAACCUGCCUCAUACAGGGGGAUAACAGUUGGAAACGACUGCUAAUACCGCAUAAGCGCACAGGAUUGCAUGAUCGAGAUACCAAAACUGAGGUGCCGAAGGAUGGGCUCGCGUUGGAUUAGAUAGUUGGUGGGGUAACGGCCUACCAAGUCGACGAUCCAUAGCCGGACUGAGAGGUUGAUCGGCCACAUUGGGACUGAGACACGGCCCAGACUCC